Molecule: small nucleolar RNA, 80 nt
Organism: Zingiber officinale
Lineage: Eukaryota; Viridiplantae; Streptophyta; Magnoliopsida; Zingiberales; Zingiberaceae
Product: small nucleolar RNA U54
Exons: 1
Source: RefSeq, a predicted model, not a curated record
UGCUCGAUGAUCGAAGUCACUCUAGACAUAUACGCUAUUCUGAGAAAUCGAAAGGGCUGAUAACACAGAAUAUGAGAGCU